GAACUCACAUUUUCUCACUCCAAUUCAGAAGUAUUUUUCACAUUCAACACAAUCUUUUUCUAGCCAAGGAAAGGCAGGGACCCUCAUUUUAUUUCUUAAAACAUUUUGGACCAAACAUUUGUGUUUGUACUCAGCUUUAAAUUUUAAUUAGACUGUACUUGUGCUUAUUUCUUUGCUCAAACAUUACCACUGGAAAUUCUGCUCUUUCCAUUUUAGAAUGGAGAAAAGCAAAACACAGACCACCCCAAUAAAUGGACUGCCCACUUCAGCAGUGGAAAGAACAGAGAUUGGAUGCCUUUGCCAGAUGAAGGCUGUUCAUGGUUCAUCGACUGCUGCAGUCCUGUUGAUGCUGCUGCACAUUCUUCUGCAGGAAUCGACGUACCUCUAUUAUCAGCAUAUCAAACCAUUUCUCUUUGAAAAAUAUUUGACAGAAGAGAAAAAGGAACAAUUUCCUAGAUUAAAUUGCCACCGAAUUUUCACCAGCAAAGCAGCUGGAUACUUGGAACCUGUCUGCUUGUGACUGUCAGUGUAAAGUAAAGUGGAAUCAGCAUGACAGAAUAAGUCUGUGGAUACUCAGGUUGUGUGGCGUGUUUUCCUGUUUAAGUCAUUUAUGUCCAAAAAAGCUCAUUUUUGCCUUGGAUGCUAAGAAAUUUGGAGAUGCCACAGAUACUUCUGGAAUUUCUCAUUGUAACUGACUCUGAUGGGCACCUGCUUCAUUUUUAGUACCUCCAAGCAAAUGGAAAGUGCUAUCUGCAAUGUUGUGGAGGUCAGAGAAGACUGCUCAAGCAGGAGUCCACAACAUUUUUCCUUUUUCACUACAGCAUAUAAUCUAAGGAAGGAUCACUUUCAUUUUGGUGCUAUGCUUUGAAAUAGCUUUGCCCUGAGAGAUUGACUCUAUCCAUUCCUUUACACUGAGAACAGUGUUAAGCGUUCUGUCUGCAUGAAUACAGAACUGCUGGCACAGUACUGCACCAGCUAAGAAGCAAUAGAAUGAGCUAAGGAGCCUGUUGCCUCCUUCCUGAAACACAGAACUUCUCUGUCCCUAAUGCAAUCCCAUCCCCA
RNAcentral lists this long non-coding RNA (1062 nucleotides) under Coturnix japonica (Japanese quail). Its description in RNAcentral is "lncRNA (ENSCJPG00005001596.1)". The record is from RNAcentral. Lineage: Eukaryota; Metazoa; Chordata; Aves; Galliformes; Phasianidae.